AACGAACGCUGGCGGCAUGCCUAACACAUGCAAGUCGAACGGGAUCCUAGCUUGCUAGGUGAGAGUGGCGGACGGGUGAGUAACACGUGGGAAUCUGCCUUUUGGUUCGGAUAACCGCGGGAAACUGCGGCUAAUACCGAAUGCCCUCGAGAGAGGAAAGAUUUAUCGCCAGAAGAGGAGCCCGCGUCCGAUUAGGUAGUUGGUGGGGUAAAGGCCUACCAAGCCGACGAUCGGUAGCUGGUCUGAGAGGAUGAUCAGCCACACUGGGACUGAGAUACGGCCCAGACUCCUACGGGAGGCAGCAGUGGGGAAUAUUGGACAAUGGGGCAACCCUGAUCCAGCAAUGCCGCGUGAGUGAUGAAGGCCUUAGGGUUGUAAAGCUCUUUUGCCAGGGAAGAUGAUGACUGUACCUGGAGAAUAAGCCCCGGCUAACUUCGUGCCAGCAGCCGCGGUAAU
This 456-nucleotide ribosomal RNA is filed under the name uncultured bacterium. Its description in RNAcentral is "bacterial SSU rRNA". It matches the Rfam family "Bacterial small subunit ribosomal RNA", at positions 29 to 524 of the family's 1533-position model. The record is from RNAcentral.